AUUUUGUUCAAAAUCCUCAUGUUAAACAAACUGGUUCUUCAGCAAUAGUUUCCAACAAUGGCUUCUUCGAUCUACACAUAGAUAACCUAUGCUUAAAUUCUUCACUUGAAAAAUCUUCAAUAUCAUCCAAAUUCAACUUAGGCAAAGUACAAUAAUUCUCUUCAGGCAAGAUUCUUAAACUCCCUAUUGACACCCUUUUGGAA
RNAcentral lists this unclassified non-coding RNA (203 nucleotides) under Hevea brasiliensis (rubber tree). Lineage: Eukaryota; Viridiplantae; Streptophyta; Magnoliopsida; Malpighiales; Euphorbiaceae. The record is from RNAcentral.